This is a small nuclear RNA of Octodon degus (degu), 144 nucleotides long. Its record names the gene U4. It matches the Rfam family "U4 spliceosomal RNA". Rfam says of the family: U4 small nuclear RNA (U4 snRNA) is a component of the major U2-dependent spliceosome. Lineage: Eukaryota; Metazoa; Chordata; Mammalia; Rodentia; Octodontidae. The record is from Ensembl.
AGCUUUGCGCAGUGGCAGUAUCGUAGCCAAUGAGGUUUAUCCGAGGCACCAUUAUUGUUAAUUGAAAUCUUUUUCCAAUACCCCACCAUGAGUUCUAAGAUUUAUACUGUAUCUUUGACUUACAAUUCAUUUAAAAGACAUUGU